This is a long non-coding RNA of Bradysia coprophila, 138 nucleotides long. NCBI's taxonomy places the organism in Eukaryota, Metazoa, Arthropoda, Insecta, Diptera, Sciaridae. The record is from RefSeq and is a predicted model, not a curated record.
CAACUUUUUUAACGUACGAUGGAAGAAUUAUAAUAAGUUACAUCUUCAACAAUUACAAUCCAAUCGACGUUAUUCAUUCCACAUGCUAUUUACACGUUAUAAUACAUAUACAUACGUAAAUGUCGUAAGGUUGGUAAC